This 721-nucleotide ribosomal RNA is filed under the name uncultured bacterium. RNAcentral describes it as "bacterial SSU rRNA". It matches the Rfam family "Bacterial small subunit ribosomal RNA", at positions 73 to 808 of the family's 1533-position model. The record is from RNAcentral.
UGGCUUUUGUGGGGUGCUCCGAGUGGCGAACGGGUGAGUAACACGUGAGUAACCUGCCCUUGACUUUGGGAUAACUUCAGGAAACUGGGGCUAAUACCGGAUAGGAGCUCCUGCUGCAUGGUGGGGGUUGGAAAGUUUCGGCGGUUGGGGAUGGACUCGCGGCUUAUCAGCUUGUUGGUGGGGUAGUGGCUUACCAAGGCUUUGACGGGUAGCCGGCCUGAGAGGGUGACCGGCCACAUUGGGACUGAGAUACGGCCCAGACUCCUACGGGAGGCAGCAGUGGGGAAUAUUGCACAAUGGGCGGAAGCCUGAUGCAGCAACGCCGCGUGCGGGAUGACGGCCUUCGGGUUGUAAACCGCUUUCGCCUGUGACGAAGCGUGAGUGACGGUAAUGGGUAAAGAAGCACCGGCUAACUACGUGCCAGCAGCCGCGGUGAUACGUAGGGUGCGAGCGUUGUCCGGAUUUAUUGGGCGUAAAGGGCUCGUAGGUGGUUGAUCGCGUCGGAAGUGUAAUCUUGGGGCUUAACCCUGAGCGUGCUUUCGAUACGGGUUGACUUGAGGAAGGUAAGGGAGAAUGGAAUUCCUGGUGGAGCGGUGGAAUGCGCAGAUAUCAGGAGGAACACCAGUGGCGAAGGCGGUUCUCUGGGCCUUUCCUGACGCUGAGGAGCGAAAGCGUGGGGAGCGAACAGGCUUAGAUACCCUGGUAGUCCACGCUGUAAACG